This 433-nucleotide ribosomal RNA is filed under the name uncultured bacterium. RNAcentral's name for it is "partial 16S ribosomal RNA". It matches the Rfam family "Bacterial small subunit ribosomal RNA", at positions 29 to 507 of the family's 1533-position model. The record is from RNAcentral.
AGCGAACGCUGGCGGCAGGCCUAACACAUGCGAGUCGAACGAACUCUUCGGAGUUAGUGGCGGACGGGUGAGUAACACGUGGGAACGUGCCUUUUGGUUCGGAAUAACUCAGGGAAACUUGUGCUAAUACCGAAUGUGCCCUUCGGGGGAAAGAUUUAACGCCAUUGGAGCGGCCCGCGUCUGAUUAGCUAGUUGGUGAGGUAACGGCUCACCAAGGCGACGAUCAGUAGCUGGUCUGAGAGGAUGACCAGCCACACUGGGACUGAGACACGGCCCAGACUCCUACGGGAGGCAGCAGUGGGGAAUCUUGCGCAAUGGGCGAAAGCCUGACGCAGCCAUGCCGCGUGAAUGAUGAAGGUCGUAGGAUUGUAAAAUUCUUUCACCGGGGACGAUAAUGACGGUACCCGGAGAAGAAGCCCCGGCUAACUUCGUG